GUUAUAUGGUCAAGUGAAGAAGCGCAUACGGUGGAUGCCUUGGCAGUCAGAGGCGAUGAAAGACGUGGUAGCCUGCGAAAAGCUUCGGGGAGUCGGCAAACAGACUUUGAUCCGGAGAUCUCUGAAUGGGGGAACCCACCUAGGAUAACCUAGGUAUCUUGUACUGAAUCCAUAGGUGCAAGAGGCGAACCAGGGGAACUGAAACAUCUAAGUACCCUGAGGAAAAGAAAUCAACCGAGAUUCCCUUAGUAGUGGCGAGCGAACGGGGAUUAGCCCUUAAGCUUCAUUGAUUUUAGCGGAACGCUCUGGAAAGUGCGGCCAUAGUGGGUGAUAGCCCCGUACGCGAAAGGAUCUUUGAAGUGAAAUCGAGUAGGACGGAGCACGAGAAACUUUGUCUGAACAUGGGGGGACCAUCCUCCAAGGCUAAAUACUACUGACUGACCGAUAGUGAACCAGUACCGUGAGGGAAAGGCGAAAAGAACCCCGGAGAGGGGAGUGAAAUAGAACCUGAAACCGUAUGCGUACAAGCAGUGGGAGCCUACUUGUUAGGUGACUGCGUACCUUUUGUAUAAUGGGUCAGCGACUUAUAUUCAGUGGCAAGCUUAACCGUAUAGGGUAGGCGUAGCGAAAGCGAGUCUUAAUAGGGCGUUUAGUCGCUGGGUAUAGACCCGAAACCGGGCGAUCUAUCCAUGAGCAGGUUGAAGGUUAGGUAACACUGACUGGAGGACCGAACCCACUCCCGUUGAAAAGGUAGGGGAUGACUUGUGGAUCGGAGUGAAAGGCUAAUCAAGCUCGGAGAUAGCUGGUUCUCCUCGAAAGCUAUUUAGGUAGCGCCUCAUGUAUCACUCUGGGGGGUAGAGCACUGUUUCGGCUAGGGGGUCAUCCCGACUUACCAAACCGAUGCAAACUCCGAAUACCCAGAAGUGCCGAGCAUGGGAGACACACGGCGGGUGCUAACGUCCGUCGUGAAAAGGGAAACAACCCAGACCGCCAGCUAAGGUCCCAAAGUUGUGGUUAAGUGGUAAACGAUGUGGGAAGGCUUAGACAGCUAGGAGGUUGGCUUAGAAGCAGCCAUCCUUUAAAGAAAGCGUAAUAGCUCACUAGUCGAGUCGGCCUGCGCGGAAGAUGUAACGGGGCUCAAACCACACACCGAAGCUGCGGGUGUCACGUAAGUGACGCGGUAGAGGAGCGUUCUGUAAGCCUGUGAAGGUGAGUUGAGAAGCUUGCUGGAGGUAUCAGAAGUGCGAAUGCUGACAUGAGUAACGACAAUGGGUGUGAAAAACACCCACGCCGAAAGACCAAGGGUUCCUGCGCAACGUUAAUCGACGCAGGGUUAGUCGGUUCCUAAGGCGAGGCUGAAAAGCGUAGUCGAUGGGAAACAGGUUAAUAUUCCUGUACUUCUGGUUACUGCGAUGGAGGGACGGAGAAGGCUAGGCCAGCUUGGCGUUGGUUGUCCAAGUUUAAGGUGGUAGGCUGAAAUCUUAGGUAAAUCCGGGGUUUCAAGGCCGAGAGCUGAUGACGAGUCGUCUUUUAGAUGACGAAGUGGUUGAUGCCAUGCUUCCAAGAAAAGCUUCUAAGCUUCAGGUAACCAGGAACCGUACCCCAAACCGACACAGGUGGUCGGGUAGAGAAUACCAAGGCGCUUGAGAGAACUCGGGUGAAGGAACUAGGCAAAAUGGCACCGUAACUUCGGGAGAAGGUGCGCCGGCUAGGGUGAAGGAUUUACUCCGUAAGCUCUGGCUGGUCGAAGAUACCAGGCCGCUGCGACUGUUUAUUAAAAACACAGCACUCUGCAAACACGAAAGUGGACGUAUAGGGUGUGACGCCUGCCCGGUGCCGGAAGGUUAAUUGAUGGGGUUAGCGCAAGCGAAGCUCUUGAUCGAAGCCCCGGUAAACGGCGGCCGUAACUAUAACGGUCCUAAGGUAGCGAAAUUCCUUGUCGGGUAAGUUCCGACCUGCACGAAUGGCGUAACGAUGGCGGCGCUGUCUCCACCCGAGACUCAGUGAAAUUGAAAUCGCUGUGAAGAUGCAGUGUAUCCGCGGCUAGACGGAAAGACCCCGUGAACCUUUACUGUAGCUUURCACUGGACUUUGAGCCUGCUUGUGUAGGAUAGGUGGGAGGCUUUGAAGCGUGGACGCCAGUUCGCGUGGAGCCAUCCUUGAAAUACCACCCUGGCAUGCUUGAGGUUCUAACUCUGGUCCGUGAUCCGGAUCGAGGACAGUGUAUGGUGGGCAGUUUGACUGGGGCGGUCUCCUCCUAAAGAGUAACGGAGGAGUACGAAGGUGCGCUCAGACCGGUCGGAAAUCGGUCGCAGAGUAUAAAGGCAAAAGCGCGCUUGACUGCGAGACAGACACGUCGAGCAGGUACGAAAGUAGGUCUUAGUGAUCCGGUGGUUCUGUAUGGAAGGGCCAUCGCUCAACGGAUAAAAGGUACUCCGGGGAUAACAGGCUGAUACCGCCCAAGAGUUCAUAUCGACGGCGGUGUUUGGCACCUCGAUGUCGGCUCAUCACAUCCUGGGGCUGAAGCCGGUCCCAAGGGUAUGGCUGUUCGCCAUUUAAAGUGGUACGCGAGCUGGGUUUAGAACGUCGUGAGACAGUUCGGUCCCUAUCUGCCGUGGACGUUUGAGAUUUGAGAGGGGCUGCUCCUAGUACGAGAGGACCGGAGUGGACGAACCUCUGGUGUUCCGGUUGUCACGCCAGUGGCAUUGCCGGGUAGCUAUGUUCGGAAAAGAUAACCGCUGAAAGCAUCUAAGCGGGAAACUUGCCUCAAGAUGAGCGAUU
RNAcentral lists this ribosomal RNA (2781 nucleotides) under Pseudomonas aeruginosa. RNAcentral describes it as "23S ribosomal RNA". It matches the Rfam family "Bacterial large subunit ribosomal RNA". The record is from RNAcentral. Lineage: Bacteria; Pseudomonadati; Pseudomonadota; Gammaproteobacteria; Pseudomonadales; Pseudomonadaceae.